This 535-nucleotide ribosomal RNA is filed under the name uncultured Wolbachia sp. Its description in RNAcentral is "bacterial SSU rRNA". It matches the Rfam family "Bacterial small subunit ribosomal RNA", at positions 352 to 907 of the family's 1533-position model. The record is from RNAcentral. Lineage: Bacteria; Pseudomonadati; Pseudomonadota; Alphaproteobacteria; Rickettsiales; Anaplasmataceae.
CAGUGGGGAAUAUUGGACAAUGGGCGAAAGCCUGAUCCAGCCAUGUCGCAUGAGUGAAGAAGGCCUUUGGGUUGUAAAGCUCUUUUAGUGAGGAAGAUAAUGACGGUACUCACAGAAGAAGUCCUGGCUAACUCCGUGCCAGCAGCCGCGGUAAUACGGAGAGGGCUAGCGUUAUUCGGAAUUAUUGGGCGUAAAGGGCGCGUAGGCUGAUUAAUAAGUUAAAAGUGAAAUCCCGAGGCUUAACCUUGGAAUUGCUUUUAAAACUAUUAAUCUAGAGAUUGAAAGGGGAUAGAGGAAUUCCUGAUGUAGAGGUAAAAUUCGUAAAUAUUAGGAGGAACACCAGUGGCGAAGGCAUCUAUCUGGUUCAAAUCUGACGCUGAGGCGCGAAGGCGUGGGGAGCAAACAGGAUUAGAUACCCUGGUAGUCCACGCUGUAAACGAUGAAUGUUAAAUAUGGGAAGUUUACUUUCUGUAUUACAGCUAACGCGUUAAACAUUCCGCCUGGGGACUACGGUCGCAAGAUUAAAACUCAAUGA